GUGUGUCGAAGUGAGGUUAUUUUGUCAACUUUACUGAAGAAGGAUGGUAACUAUGUGAAUGAAGAAGGAAAGAUUUUAGCUGUAUGAUUUAUAUACCUGUCCAUUUUCAAAUUUCAGUUAUGGUGUUGAUUUAUUCUUGUCUUUUUUCUUUGGUCCAUAGCCUAGCAUAAGACUCAACUAGCUAUCAAAGAAUAAAAACAAAAAAUAACUAAUGUAGGUGAGAAGUGAGCUUAUUGUUCUAGCAGCUGCCUUUGUGCUACAAAUGUGUCUUCCUAGGA
RNAcentral lists this long non-coding RNA (278 nucleotides) under Solanum tuberosum (potato). RNAcentral describes it as "long non-coding RNA (STUB_LNC010616)". The record is from RNAcentral. Lineage: Eukaryota; Viridiplantae; Streptophyta; Magnoliopsida; Solanales; Solanaceae.